CUCUUUCUCUUCUCUUUUGUUUCAACUUUUUUUUCUUAAUCUCACAGACUUCAUCUUUUCAUUCUUCCCAAUCUCACAGAUCUUGUCACUCUGAUCUCUUUCUUCAUCCCAACUAAACCUUGCCACUACAGACCUCGUCUUCGUCUCCAAUCUCUUUGUUUAAAUAAAGCGGAGGAGGAUGGAGAAGCUUUAUGGUUGUAAUCUCAGCACCGACGCGGCAGACUCGUCUCUGGUCAAGCUCUGUAUUGGUUUCACCUCCUCACCACCACCACAGAUCUAUUAAGGACCAAGGAAAAGUGAAGCAAUAAUGUGACAAAGCAGCGUCUCUGGUCAAGCGUGGUGCAAGACGGUGGUGCAAGCCGGUGGUGGCAUGGUUGUCGUGCGGUGGAGAUGCGAUGUUGGUGUGCUAACUGCGGCGGUGACUGAAAGAAUUUAGUUUAGUGGAUGUAUUAGGUUUAUUUAGGGUUAAUUAGUAAACCAAUUUGUAAUUGUAAACCAUUUUGUAACUGUAUAUCAUGUAAACCAAAAUUCAAUUUAUAAGAUCUCACCGCAGCUAUUUCUAAA
Molecule: long non-coding RNA, 564 nt
Organism: Raphanus sativus (radish)
Lineage: Eukaryota; Viridiplantae; Streptophyta; Magnoliopsida; Brassicales; Brassicaceae
Exons: 3
Source: RefSeq, a predicted model, not a curated record